Molecule: long non-coding RNA, 1079 nt
Filed under: Salmo salar (Atlantic salmon)
Lineage: Eukaryota; Metazoa; Chordata; Actinopteri; Salmoniformes; Salmonidae
Description: lncRNA (ENSSSAG00000113425.1)
Source: RNAcentral
GAAAGAGAGAGAGAGAAACAGAGAGCGAGAGAGAGAAUGAGAUUGUCCAGACAGACUGUUUUAACACUCUUGGUUUGACCACCAGAGGAGAAAGAAAACAGUUAUGAGCUGAACAGUAUGCCAGUGGAGUGGAGGACAGCACCAGGUAACCCAAUUGUGCUACCAGCAGGCAGAGAUGGAGGUUCAGUUCCUGAGAGAAGAGAAGAAGACCUGUACAGAGAAGGAAGCCCACAUGCUUGAGUUGAGGGGAAGGAUCGAACGAUCCGAAAUCAGAAGGAGAUGGACAGACGUCAAGUGUGCCUCUGGGAGGAGGAAAAGAAGAAGAGGAAUGGUGGAACGGAGAAGGACGAGAUGAUUGAACAAUUACAGUCUGAGACAGACAAUCUCAGAGCCCUUUUAAAAGACGAAAGGAGGAGAAGAAGAGUAGAAAGGGGUAUAAUGAAAGAGUGGAAGGCUGAGAUCCUGAGGGAGCCAGAGGAGCCAAAGAAUGGGAGGAGAACCAGAGAAAUAUGCAUGAGAUCAACAGACUCAAACAACUGCAGGAGCUGCUGAUGGUGGACCUACAACUGGCCCACGAGUAAUUUCUACAAGCAUAAACAUCAGAGGCAGCAUUGUUGUAACAUCACACAAAUUGCAACUGGAAUUUCAUUUAGCUUCAAUCAGAGAGAGAAGAUAAUAGAAGCAAACAAAACAGAUGAGAUUGCGGAAGAGGAAAGAAGGGAGAUCCUUGAGAAGUACAAGAGGGGUGAGUUAGAGAACACUGAAGAGGAGAAGGAAGAUGGCAAGGAGGACCUUGUCCCACCCUAUAAAAACAGCCGAAGGAGAGCUGUGGGCUGGGUGAAUAAGAAGUGGGAGAAGAGGAACCUCAAAAAGAUCGAGAGAACGUAUCAGAGAGAGGCUGAGGAGGGCUAUAAGAUCGUCCAUAUAGUCAUCCCUGUACACAAAGGGCUAACAUCUACCAUCACCCGGGCAGAGAGAGAGGGAGAAGAGGAAGGAGCUCCUGAAGGCUGAGGAGGGCUAUAAGAUCGUCCAUAUAGUCAUCCCUGUACACAAAGGGCUAACAUCUACCAUCACCCGGG